This 1368-nucleotide ribosomal RNA is filed under the name uncultured bacterium. Its description in RNAcentral is "bacterial SSU rRNA". It matches the Rfam family "Bacterial small subunit ribosomal RNA", at positions 28 to 1381 of the family's 1533-position model. The record is from RNAcentral.
GAUGAACGCUAGCGAUAGGCUUAACACAUGCAAGUCGAGGGGUAACGUGUUGGAAGCUUGCUUCCGAUGACGACGACCGGCGGAUGGGUGCGUAACGCGUAUGCAACUUGCCUCACAGAGGAGAAUAACCCGGAGAAAUCCGGACUAAUGCUCCAUACACUCUUUAGCACGCCUGUGCGUAAGAGGAAAGAUUUAUCGCUGUGAGAUAGGCAUGCGUCCUAUUAGGUAGUUGGUGAGGUAACGGCUCACCAAGCCGACGAUAGGUAGGGGUGCUGAGAGGCAGAUCCCCCACAUUGGGACUGAGACACGGCCCAAACUCCUACGGGAGGCAGCAGUGAGGAAUAUUGGUCAAUGGAGGAAACUCUGAACCAGCCAAGUCGCGUGAAGGAAGAAUGUCCUAAGGAUUGUAAACUUCUUUAGCGAGUGAGUAAGGACUUCCACGCGUUGGGAGUUUGAAAGUAGCUCGAGAAUAAGUAUCGGCUAACUCCGUGCCAGCAGCCGCGGUAAUACGGAGGAUACGAGCGUUAUCCGGAUUUAUUGGGUUUAAAGGGUGCGCCAGGUGGUCCUGCAAGUCAGUGGUGAAAAGCUGAGGCUCAACCUCAGCCUUGCCGUUGAAACUGCAAGACUUGAGAGUACAUGAUGUGGGCGGAAUGCGUAGUGUAGCGGUGAAAUGCAUAGAUAUUACGCAGAACUCCGAUUGCGAAGGCAGCUCACAAAGGUAUAUCUGACACUGAGGCACGAAAGCGUGGGGAGCAAACAGGAUUAGAUACCCUGGUAGUCCACGCCGUAAACGAUGAUUACUCGAAGUAUGCGAUAUGACAGUAUGCUUCCAAGCGAAAGUGAUAAGUAAUCCACCUGGGGAGUACGCCGGCAACGGUGAAACUCAAAGGAAUUGACGGGGGCCCGCACAAGCGGAGGAACAUGUGGUUUAAUUCGAUGAUACGCGAGGAACCUUACCCGGGAUUGAAAUGUAUGUGCGCCUCUUGGGAAACCGAGAGGGUUCUCUUCGGAGACACAUAUGUAGGUGCUGCAUGGUUGUCGUCAGCUCGUGCCGUGAGGUGUCGGCUUAAGUGCCAUAACGAGCGCAACCCUUAUCGUCAGUUACUAACAGGUUAAGCUGAGGACUCUGGCGAGACUGCCGUCGUAAGGCGAGAGGAAGGUGGGGAUGACGUCAAAUCAGCACGGCCCUUACAUCCGGGGCGACACACGUGUUACAAUGGUAGGGACAGAGAGUAGCCACUCGGCGACGAGGAGCGGAUCUUGAAACCCUAUCUCAGUUCGGAUCGGAGUCUGCAACUCGACUCCGUGAAGCCGGAUUCGCUAGUAAUCGCGCAUCAGCCAUGGCGCGGUGAAUACGUUCCCGGGCCU